AUUGAACGCUGGCGGCAUGCUUUACACAUGCAAGUCGAACGGUAACAGGCCUUCGGGUGCUGACGAGUGGCGAACGGGUGCGUAAUGCAUCGGAACGUACCCAGAGGUGGGGGAUAACGCAGCGAAAGCUGUGCUAAUACCGCAUGUGAUCUGAGGAUGAAAGCGGGGGACCGAGCAGCAAUGUUUGGCCUUGCGCCUUUGGAGCGGCCGAUGUCGGAUUAGCUAGUUGGUGGGGUAAAGGCCUACCAAGGCGACGAUCCGUAGCUGGUCUGAGAGGACGACCAGCCACACUGGAACUGAGACACGGCCCAGACUCCUACGGGAGGCAGCAGUGGGGAAUUUUGGACAAUGGGCGCAAGCCUGAUCCAGCAAUGCCGCGUGCGGGAAGAAGGCCUUCGGGUUGUAAACCGCUUUUGGCAGGAACGAAACGGUGUCCGCUAAUACCGGGCUCUAAUGACGGUACCUGCAGAAUAAGCACCGGCUAACUACGUG
Molecule: ribosomal RNA, 492 nt
Filed under: uncultured bacterium
Lineage: Bacteria
Description: partial 16S ribosomal RNA
Rfam family: Bacterial small subunit ribosomal RNA
Source: RNAcentral